UUGCGGAGAGCACGGGUCUCAACAUCAAAAACUUGAUCGAGUCAGCACGAGAGAUAAGCCUUAUGGAGUACGUUCGAAGUAAUGCCUCAAUUUCUUGAUGGCAUAAAAUAAUGUUAAGCAGACUUUCUCAACGGUAUGAGCGGUUUCUCAGGUGUUGGAGCUCCUAAAACUGGCAAAUUUAGCAUAAUUUUUUGUGCUCUCAAAAGCGUUUUGAAAUCCUUCAUCCUACUAGAAAGAGGCAUCUUUCUUCAUGAGGUGGUUGAAGCGUUGGCAUCUUCUAGCGAGGAUCGACUUUAGUACCGUGCUGGCGAACGAUGAAGCCAAGAAGUUUUCCAGACAAGACAUCUAAGGCACACUUGAGAGGGUUCAUCUUUAGGUUAUACUUCCUCAAGCGGUCAAAUACUACUUGGAGGUCUGACAAGUAUUCUCUCUUCUUGAUUUUGACGACAAGAUCAUCUACGUAGCAUUUCACCUUCUUAUGUAGCAUAUCAUCUAAGAUGUUCUGCCUAACAGGUUGGGGCUAGCCCCUGCGUUCUUUAAUUCGAAGGCCAUUACCUUGUAGCAAUAGAUUCCUUUAGGGGUGUGAAAGGUCGUGCAUUCUUUGUCUUUAGGUGAUAUUCUAAUUUGGUUGUAACCGAAGGAGCCAUCCAUGAAAGACAAUGCUUCAUGUUCAGUAACCGCGUCAACCAUGAAUUCGAAGAUAGGCGAAGAAAAGUCAUCUUUUGAACAUGCUUUGUUUAAGUUUGGAAAAUCAACACAAAUGCAAAUUUGACCAUUCUUGCUCUUGAGAGGCAUGAUGUUAGAAAUCAACAUCGAAUAUUUGAUUUCUCUAAUGAA
Non-coding RNA from Sesamum indicum (sesame), 837 nucleotides. The record is from RefSeq and is a predicted model, not a curated record. NCBI's taxonomy places the organism in Eukaryota, Viridiplantae, Streptophyta, Magnoliopsida, Lamiales, Pedaliaceae.